CAAGGUACGUUUUAUCCGUUUGAUUCCCGGCUGUAAAACACACAAGCAGAAACAAAAAAACAAGCCGUUUUUUCGUUUUUUCGUUUUGAGCAAAAAACAAAAAAACAGGAAACGGUUCGUUUUUUCGUUUUUUCGUUUUGACCAAAAAAACAAAAAACCAGGAAACGGUUUGUUUUUUCGUUUUUUCGUUUUCACCCCCAAAAUGAAAAUACGACUCCAUAUUUCGUUUUAUUGGUGGGCGGGGCUUCGGAGCCCACCGGUGCACAAUAAAGCUCCUGUCCAUCACAAUAAAGCUCUUGCGCUCGCAGGCAUAGACAGACUGACUUUCUUUGUAUUGCCUGCCCCCACUGCACUUCCCCUAAUUCUAAAUCAAAGCAAGUCGUGUACACAGUACAGAGUUUGCACGAUAGUAGGCUAUUUAUUGAUUGAAUGAGCGAAAGAUAGCCUAUCUAUCGGAUUAAACACCCAAGAGGAGGCCGAAGAGGCGCGCUGAAAGUAGGUAUAUAAAAUGACCAGCAGGUGUCGCCAUUCCUUAAUGUUGCCACCAACCAUCCCCUAUCAGGCAAUUAAUACAUUGAUCUGGGUUAAUGUGAUCUGGGUUAAUGGCUUUUCUCUGACUUCUUCACUAACCAAUGCAAUACAUGUAAGAUGCACUCAAAAGUGCCCGCGCCCUAUUGUGGCCAUUCCUGUGACGCUCUUUGAGCUGCAAUUCCUGCAUGAAAGCUGCUAUACUGACUUAUUACUAUUAUUAUUAUUAGGCUGUUAUGAUUAUUAAUGGUAAUUGCUUAGACCUAGUUUUAACUGACUGCCACAGGAACAAAUAAUUAUCUUCUGGAGAACAAACUUGUCCGGGAUCAGAACUGUAGUAAACCCACUUUGUUUUAUGCUUGCUGUGUCUCAUUUUGUCCACCAGAUGGUAGCUUGUGUGUUUGUGUGUUUGCCUUAUAAACGAAAGUCUCAUUUGAAAUGCAUUUUUGUGACAUAAUCUUUAUAUGUGCUGAGUUUUAUGAUAUGGGUUUUGCUAACAAAUGUCAUUUUAUCUGCUUUGUGCGUAUAUUUCUGCACGUUUUGGAGUUAAUGGUUCAGAUUUAUAUCGCCAUGAUUUUAUUUGAAGACGACCUUUUAUUUCCCGUCUAUCGUUUUUUUCCGGGAAUUCUAGUCACUUCAUUACGGAAUGAAUGAGCUAACGUAAAAGAUGAAAGUUCAAGGUACAGUAAGGGAUAAGGCAUCGAAUGAUGAGUAUAUUUGUUUUGCAACCCCCCAAAGAGGCACAAGUUCUCACGUUGGUAUAUGGAGUUGCUUGUGGCAAUAAACUUGAAACCAUCAGUCGAGUCUCUUACCGUCUUUCGGAGGGUAUGCUGCAAGAACACCAACUGCAAGAAGGGGUAAACCACACUCUACUUCAUGGGGAAAAUGGCAUCAUUUGUCCUGUAGUCUGAGGAGCUAUCACUGUACCACUGUACUACUUACCACUGUAAUAAUCAACCAAUCCAUCCUUCUCUUCACUCAUUACAAGCUAAUGGUCAGUUUUAUUGUCUUUUAUAGCUAUAAAUUGUGCUAGAUGUUUUAAUCUUCAAUUGCAUUGCAGAUUCUGCUAUUCCUGAGGAUAGCAACCAUUUUGCCUGUAAAAAAUAAAGUAGUCUUCACGGCACCCUUCACCAUUUUUCUUGUUCUUCCUCUGGACGUCUUCAUUUCUGCAUUUGUCACAUUAAGCAUAUUGUGAAAUUUAAAAAAUUGAAGCCAUUUGAGAAAUUAAUAUACUGUGUAUAAUUUAUCUGAGAAUGAUUGUAUUGUAAAAGUUGGAAUGAUAAGGAAAAAUUAAAUAAAAUGGAUACAUCAUU
Long non-coding RNA from Acanthochromis polyacanthus (spiny chromis), 1841 nucleotides. RefSeq lists it as uncharacterized. The transcript has 2 exons. Lineage: Eukaryota; Metazoa; Chordata; Actinopteri; Pomacentridae. The record is from RefSeq and is a predicted model, not a curated record.